UACAAGAUUUUUCAGUAUAAUCUGGAGUCCUAUGUUUGAUGUUUGGAAAUCAUCAAAAUAUAGGAGUAUUUAAAGCCAAAAGAAAGGAGAAAUGCACAUUUUCUUUGUGUGUGUGUGUGUGUGUGUGUGUGUUUGUGUCCAUGUAG
This 146-nucleotide small RNA is filed under the name Marmota monax (woodchuck). Lineage: Eukaryota; Metazoa; Chordata; Mammalia; Rodentia; Sciuridae. The record is from RNAcentral.